Molecule: long non-coding RNA, 747 nt
Filed under: Erythranthe guttata (spotted monkey flower)
Lineage: Eukaryota; Viridiplantae; Streptophyta; Magnoliopsida; Lamiales; Phrymaceae
Description: long non-coding RNA (EGUT_LNC002546)
Source: RNAcentral
CUCAAUAUCCAUUUUCCAAACAAUUCACCAAGAAAUUGAUUACAGGAAAAGAAAAUAAUCAAACACAAUACAACUGAAAUUAUUAAUAAAAUUAAAAUCAUCUUUCUCAAAAUCAUCUUUCUCUCUCCAUUUUUCCUUUAUUGCAUUCAUUUUAUUAAUAUACACAUUGAACAGAGAGGGUGAGUUUAUGAGCAUACCCUCUCAAAAUCAUCUUUCUCUCUCCAGUUUUCCUCUGCAUUCAUUUUAUUAAUAUAUAUAUUGAACAAUUGGAACAGGAAAAUUCAGAGAAAAUAAUAAAUUAAUAAAAUAUGAAGAAAAAAGACUUACGGCUAGAUUAUCACCAGGGGUAGUUGUCUACCUGGAAUGGGAUCCCGUGCGGCGGAAUAUGGAUCCCGUUCUCCUCGUAAUCGUCGUCGAUCUCCGUUCGACGAUUCUCUUUGCAGGCGUUAUCUUCUUGCCGACCUUCGGCUUCUUCUGGGCUGCCGCCGCCGCCGCUUCACGUCUUCCGCCGACGCAGGAAGAAAUUUUCGAUCGGGUGGCGGAGAAGAACGGGUGGUGCUCCGACGAUGUGAAGCUACGCAGACCGCCGUUCUCCACCAUGAUUCCCGCAACCUUCGCCGCUGCUCUCAUCGCACCGCCUCCCAUGUUAUUUUCAGAUUUGGUGGAGAUUAAUUUCGAAGAAAGAAAAGAGUGAACGAGAGAGAUAGAGAAGGAGAGAUGAAGAGAGUGAUGUAACGGCGAUUGUGG